This 2324-nucleotide long non-coding RNA is filed under the name Canis lupus familiaris (dog). RNAcentral's name for it is "lncRNA (ENSCAFG00000057040.1)". The record is from RNAcentral. Lineage: Eukaryota; Metazoa; Chordata; Mammalia; Carnivora; Canidae.
ACAUUUUCUUUUUCUUUACUAGUAAUAAACUCUGACAUCCAUUUGAGAAAGCACCAGCCAAUCCUACCAAAGUCAUCUCAGCACCCUUUUGCUCCUCAAAAUUGACCAUCUUUUACAUUUAAUGUCUCCUGUAGGAAUGAAUAAAAAUGGUUAUGUCAAGUGCAGAAGUUAGCAUAGGUCAACUGGUGUGUAUUUUAUACCGUGUUCCUAAAUUAACAUGAGAAAAUGAAAAAUAAGAAAUAUUCUUAUGUAAAUGAAACAUAAGGACAGAAAACCACUCUAAUAGCUAUCACACAGGUGAAGUUAACUGACUUUAAGUCGGGACAAGUGUCUUAAUAACCAUCUAGUAAUACUUUUUAUAGAAGUGUUUUGCAGGCAUAGGUACAGACACGUGUACAGCUCGCCUCUCUCCCGAUACUCAUUUCCCUGAUUUUGCUCCUGCUUCUCAUGGGAUCAAGCUGCUGAGCCCUUAGCCACAUAUGCUGUGGUUCCUAGUAAUUACCUUUACAGCAGAUCACAUGUAAUUUUUCUUUUGAAAAAUGAAGUACAGAGAAGACUAUGAAAAAUAGUGGGGAAAAAAGCAUACCAUUAAAACAGAAACAUAGGUUGUGAUGUUCAAAUUUAGAGAAAAACUGGUUCGUUAUAAUUGUUAGUAGAUCAUGAAGCAGUGAACAGAUUGGACCAGGACUGAAGAGGAAGCCAGGCCAGAGAGCCCCAGGAUGCCUGACAAAAGCAGGCAUCUUUGAGGACACUGGUUACAAUGAUUACAGUAAACAUUUUCACAAGGCUGUAAGCUCUCCCAGGUCAGGGAACAUGGCUCAUUUAUGACUAUAUCCCUAGUCUUAAUAUUGUCCUCCACACAAUAGACUUUCAGUAAGUAUUUCUGGGAACCAGGGAACAGAGCUGAAUCAGCUCAGUGUUUUCAAAGCCAUUUUGGAUGUAAUCUACUCACCUAAUUCAUUCAUUCCUCUAAGGCAGGGAUGACAAAUGAACUUCAUCUCACUCUGAGGGAUGGGCAAUGGAUGCCUGGAAACACUGAUGACAUGGAUUGAGACCAAUUCCUGGCACAGAGGAAAGGAGUGCUACUCAUUCAUAAUGCCACCAUCAGAGAGUGGUGGCACAGAUGUUAUAUAUUCCCCAUCCCUGGUCUAGGAAAAAGGCAUCCAACAACUCACCCAUCUUCCCUUUCUGUCACUAUGCUGCCUCACGAAUGCUCUGCAUUAAGCCACUGCUCAUUAGAUGUUGGUUGAUCAAGAAGGCCAAGGCCUUUCCACUCGAUUUACCUGUGUGGCCAAACAGGUAGGGUCAUGACUUUACCUGGAAAUCUGAAAACAUGGCAUCCACAAUGCUCAUUAAGUAAGUCUUUAUUGAAAGAAAAUAAGCAUUUACUUCUAAUACCCUUUGGAGAGAAAGAGCUUGUCCAUCUCAAUACAACUUUAAUUGAUGUCUAAGGCAUUUGGAAUUACUUGGGAUUUUGGUUCAAAAAAACAUGGCCGAGUUCAAUUCUCUUUGGUAUUCAUGCUUAAUCUUAAUCUAUUUGUUUCUUAGUAGAAUCCAUAACCUUCUCAGUACUUCAUUGUUAUGACUUAACCAACACUGUUGAAAUAACUCAUAUAUUUUCAUCAGAAAAACUUUGAAGGAUGCUAAGGGGAGAGGCCUCUGAAACCAAGGGUCUUAAGAAGAAAGCCAGGAAAAAUGACAGGAAGAACCAACUUCCCUCUACCAAUCCACACUCAGGAUUCACUCUGCCACUCAGACUAUUCUUAGUAAAAUAGGUUGCUUCUGGCAGGAUGGCUCCCACUAUCAGGGGUCCUCCACUAACUCCCCUCUCUGCAGUGGGAGGUUAGUACCCCUCAGAAGUAUUUCAGAAAAGAAGGAUGAAACAUUUGGAGGAAGGAAGAAAAUGGAAGGAUAUCAUCAAAGAGCACUACAUUGUAUACCUAAAACUAAUAUAACACUGUAUAUUAACUAUACCGGAAUAAAAAUAAAAAUUAAAAAAAAAGGCAAAGUCCUGGGGGAUGACGGGAUUUUCAAUGCAACAUUCCCUCAUCAUAGGUAGAGUCUUUAAUACAACACUGGCACCAAUACGAGAACAGAGCUAAAUUAAAAUUAUCCUCAAAAUGCCAAUGUAGCUCAUGUGCACGGCAGGAAAAAGGGUGACCCAAAUCCACAGAUCUGUUCCUACUGCACAUUGUGCCUUGCCCAAGUACCACUGGCAGUCCAGAGUAACAAAACUUUGUUAAAAGUCUGUGUAUCUUAGAGCUAUAAUAUGCCACGACACGUGCGUGCACACACACAUACACACACAGAUAAUAUGCACAUAU